UGAAGCGGCAACAGAAAUUUGAAAUCUGGCCCCCGGGGUCCGAGUUGUAAUUUGUAGAGAGUGCGGGGGAGACUGCGGUCUAAGUCCAUUGGAACAUGGUGUCAUAGAGGGUGAGAAUCCCGUAUGUGACCGCGGAUCGAACCCAUGUGAAGCCUCUUCGACGAGUCGAGUUGUUUGGGAAUGCAGCUCAAAAUGGGUGGUAAAUUUCAUCUAAAGCUAAAUACUGGCUGGAGACCGAUAGCGCACAAGUAGAGUGAUCGAAAGAUGAAAAGCACUUUGGAAAGAGAGUUAAACAGUACGUGAAAUUGUUGAAAGGGAAGCGCUUGCAACCAGACCUGCCCGUAGGCGAUCAGCCGCUGUUCUCAGCGGUGCACUCGUUCUGCGAUCAGGCCAGCAUCGGUUUCGGCGGUCGGAUAAAGGCCUUGGGAAUGUAGCUUCCUUUCGAGGGAGUUUUAUAGCCCUCGGUGCAAUGCGGCCAGCCGGGACCGAGGACCGCGCUUCGGCUAGGAUGCUGGCUUAAUGGUUGUCAG
Molecule: ribosomal RNA, 530 nt
Filed under: Parmotrema tinctorum
Lineage: Eukaryota; Fungi; Ascomycota; Lecanoromycetes; Lecanorales; Parmeliaceae
Description: partial 28S ribosomal RNA
Rfam family: Eukaryotic large subunit ribosomal RNA
Source: RNAcentral